CUGUGCUGGAGGUGCGUUUGAGGCCCGUGGUAAAGUCUGUAAAUCAGGUUGUUGUCUGGAUCUGCAGCUGCUCCGGGCCGCAGCCCCGCAGCCUCCGCAGUUUCUCCAAAAUCAAAACCGAAACCAAACCUUCCAGUGUCAGGCACUUCAGCCGCUCGUGAGUCAGUGCGCGCGGAGCCAUGGCGGACUCUUACCCGCACGCGCUGCUCGUGGAGUUCGAGCCGAACCGAGUCCUCAAACUAAAGAACAAACUCACCAAGUACUUCCAGAGCAAGAGGCUGUCGGGCGGAGGAGACUGCACCGUGGAGCUGCGGACAGACGGGCCCGGCGCGGAGCUCCGCUUCCGGGCACAGAGAGACCAGAGGAGCGUCCUGGAGAAAGCGUCCCAUCAGCUGAGUCUGGAGGACGGAGCGCUGAAGCUGACGGUGCGACUGAUGGAGCAGGAAUCCCCCGCUCCGUCUCAGUCGGACUCUGGACCCGCUUCUCUUCAGGUCAGAUCUUCCACACCGUCCCCCAGCAGCAGCUGCAGAGGAGGAGGUGAGGGGGGGAGCCUGCCGACGCCUCUGCCCAGCUCCGGUGCUCCUCCCCCGGGCUCCUCUCCGUCGCUCGUGCCCCGCUCCACGGCCUCCACGGCCCCUCUGUUGCUCCUCGCUCCACGGCCUCGAUCGUGGGGAACCUGGCUGCAGACGUGA
Molecule: long non-coding RNA, 692 nt
Filed under: Neogobius melanostomus (round goby)
Lineage: Eukaryota; Metazoa; Chordata; Actinopteri; Gobiiformes; Gobiidae
Description: lncRNA (ENSNMLG00000002829.1)
Source: RNAcentral